Non-coding RNA from Myodes glareolus (Bank vole), 255 nucleotides. NCBI's taxonomy places the organism in Eukaryota, Metazoa, Chordata, Mammalia, Rodentia, Cricetidae. The record is from RefSeq and is a predicted model, not a curated record.
CACCGAAGAGGCAACAUGUAAGCUGUCACACUGAGAAAGAAAGCCACACCCGUCACAGCAGAACACUGCUUUGCUUCCUUGAGAAGGACCUGGACCAUCCAGAGUCUCCUAUCUGUGAUAUGUUCAGACCCCCAUCCCAAAGACACAAUCAAGGUCAGUCUCUUCAAACCGUGGUAUCAUUUGGGGCUCAAUAACAGCACCUCCCGAAGGAGAGGCUGCCACAUUCGAAAGGUAUAAAUGGCCCUAGCGGAAACU